This 1366-nucleotide ribosomal RNA is filed under the name Diadocidia globosa. Its description in RNAcentral is "partial 28S ribosomal RNA". It matches the Rfam family "Eukaryotic large subunit ribosomal RNA", at positions 402 to 1578 of the family's 3401-position model. Lineage: Eukaryota; Metazoa; Arthropoda; Insecta; Diptera; Diadocidiidae. The record is from RNAcentral.
AAACCGCUUAGGGGUUAAGCCCGAUGAACCUGAAUAUCUGAAAUAAGAAAUUCAAUACUAUUUAGUAGCUUAGGCAAACAAUGGUAUGCACUUUUCUUAAAGUAAGACAUUGCAAUCCAUUAGUAUAUCUAUUUAUAGAUGGUUUAUCAAACGGCCCGUAUAGUUUGUUUAUUCUAUCUGUGACACUUGUUGUCAUAUGAAUAAUGCUAUUGCGGUGACCUGGUAAACAGCUGAUGGAGUUUAAAAAUCAUGCAAACAUGCAUAUGUAUCACGGUUUGUGUAUUUUUAAUAUAUAAAUAUAAGUGAUAGCAUGUAUUUGAUUAGCAAUGCGAUAGAUUUAGGAUACCUUCGGGACCCGUCUUGAAACACGGACCAAGAAGUCUAACAUGUAUGCGAGUCAUUGGGUAUUUGUUGAAACCUAAAGGCGUAAUUAAAAUAACUAUUUUAAUGGGAUUACAAGUGAUUUAAUAUAUUGCUUCUCCAUCCCGGGGCGUUCUAUACGAACAUGAUUUAAGAAAUUAGAUCCUCUGUUCAAGAGCGUACCUUGAGCAUACAUGCUGUGACCCGAAAGAUGGUGAACUAUACCUGAUCAGGUUGAAGUCAGGGGAAACCCUGAUGGAGGACUGAAGCAGUUCUGACGUGCAAAUCGAUUGUCAGAAUUGGGUAUAGGGGCGAAAGACCAAUCGAACCAUCUAGUAGCUGGUUCCCUCCGAAGUUUCCCUCAGGAUAGCUGGUGCAAAUAAUAUUGAUAAUUAAUCUUAUCUGGUAAAGCGAAUGAUUAGAGGCCUUGGGGUCGAAACGAUCUCAACCUAUUCUCAAACUUUAAAUGGGUAAGAGCCUCAUCUUUCUUGAUAUGAAGAUAUUGAGGUUUAGAUAUAUUGUGCCCAGUGGGCCACUUUUGGUAAGCAGAACUGGCGCUGUGGGAUGAACCAAACGUGAUGUUACGGCGCCUAAAUUAAUGACUCAUGUUGAUACCAUGAAAGGCGUUGGUUGCUUAAAACAGCAGGACGGUGGACAUGGAAGUCGUAAUCCGCUAAGGAGUGUGUAACAACUCACCUGCCGAAGCAACUAGCCCUUAAAAUGGAUGGCGCUUAAGUCAUAUGCCUAUACAUCACCGCUAAAAUAAAAGAAUUUUAAUUUCGGUUAAAAUUCAUAAAAUUUUAGUGAGUAGGAGGGUACAAUGGUGUGCGCAGAAGUGUUUGGCGUAAGCCUGCAUGGAGCCGCCAUUGGCACAGAUCUUGGUGGUAGUAGCAAAUAAUCGAAUGAGAUCUUGGAGGACUGAAGUGGAGAAGGGUUUCGUGUGAACAGUGGUUGAUCACGAAUAAGUCGGUCCUAAGCUCUAUGCGAAAGCAGUUUAAUUUAUGUU